Molecule: ribosomal RNA, 497 nt
Filed under: uncultured bacterium
Lineage: Bacteria
Description: partial 16S ribosomal RNA
Rfam family: Bacterial small subunit ribosomal RNA
Source: RNAcentral
GAUGAACGCUGGCGGCGUGCCUAAUACAUGCAAGUCGAGCGAACAGACGAGGCGCUUGCUCCUCUGACGUUAGCGGCGGACGGGUGAGUAACACGUGGAUAACCUACCUAUAAGACAGGGAUAACUUCGGGAAACCGGAGCUAAUACCGGAUAAUAUAUUGAACCGCAUGGUUCAAUAGUUCAAAACGGUUUUGCUGUCACUUAUAGAUGGAUCGGCGGCCCCUUAGCUAGUUGGUAAGGUAACGGCUUACCAAGGGAACGAUGCGUAGCCGACCUGAGAGAGUGUCCGGCCGAACGGGAGGUAAGACAGGGCCACGACUCCAAAGGGAGCGAGCAGUAGUGAUGCGUCCGAAGUGGGCGCAUGCGUGACGGAACCCCACCGCGUGGGUUGUGAGAGUCUUCGGCCUGUACACCGCUAUUAUUAGCGAAGGAAAAAUCUGUAAGUAAGUAGGCAAGGCUUGACGGUGGAUAACCAGAACGCCACAGCUAACUACGUG